Molecule: ribosomal RNA, 492 nt
Filed under: uncultured bacterium
Lineage: Bacteria
Description: partial 16S ribosomal RNA
Rfam family: Bacterial small subunit ribosomal RNA
Source: RNAcentral
AGUGAACGCUGGCGGUAGGCCUAACACAUGCAAGUCGAACGGCAGCACAGUAAGAGCUUGCUCUUACGGGUGGCGAGUGGCGGACGGGUGAGGAAUACAUCGGAAUCUACUUUUUCGUGGGGGAUAACGUAGGGAAACUUACGCUAAUACCGCAUACGACCUACGGGUGAAAGCAGGGGAUCUUCGGACCUUGCGCGAUUGAAUGAGCCGAUGUCGGAUUAGCUAGUUGGCGGGGUAAAGGCCCACCAAGGCGACGAUCCGUAGCUGGUCUGAGAGGAUGAGCAGCCACACUGGAACUGAGACACGGUCCAGACUCCUACGGGAGGCAGCAGUGGGGAAUAUUGGACAAUGGGCGCAAGCCUGAUCCAGCCAUACCGCGUGAGUGAAGAAGGCCUUCGGGUUGUAAAGCCCUUUUGUUGGGAAAGAAAAGCAGCAGGUUAAUACCCCGCUGUUCUGACGGUACCCAAAGAAUAAGCACCGGCUAACUUCGUG